Monodelphis domestica (gray short-tailed opossum) is the source of this 102-nucleotide small nuclear RNA. Lineage: Eukaryota; Metazoa; Chordata; Mammalia; Didelphimorphia; Didelphidae. The record is from Ensembl.
GCUUGCUUCGGCAGCGCAUACACUAAAAUUGGAAUAAUACAGAGAAGAUUAGCAUGACCCCUGUGCAAAGACAUGCAAAUUCAUGAAGAAUUACAUAUUUUU